Long non-coding RNA from Neopsephotus bourkii (Bourke's parrot), 1282 nucleotides. RefSeq lists it as uncharacterized. The transcript has 2 exons. The record is from RefSeq and is a predicted model, not a curated record. NCBI's taxonomy places the organism in Eukaryota, Metazoa, Chordata, Aves, Psittaciformes, Psittacidae.
UGGCUCGGAGGUUUGACUAUUGGAAGAAACCCUAGUGCUGACAGAGAGGUGUUAGGUUGCACGCUGGGAAUUGAAAUGUCACGCAGUCAUGUCAUCUUUUUGUUAGCAGAGCUGCCGUAAUUAUGCUCUUUGCCUUCACUUCAUACCCUGUGAGGACGGCUGCAGCCAGGACAAUUUUCCUCACGCCUAGGUAGAACUGAAAGCGUGUGUGUAGCCAGCUAUAGUGGCUCAGAUGCCUGACACCAGCUCCUUCAAAGGAGAUAACUGCAUAUGCUGUUUGGGGCGGUUUGAAAUCCUAAGAAGCACGCAGAGCAUGUUCAAAGCUACAGCUCCACCUAAACAAGAAUGAUUGCAGUAAUACAAUUCCUAAUGUGGAUGCUGUUAACAGAAGAGUUGUAAACCAAACCCAGGAUUCUUUGCAUCGUCACAGCAGCUGUUCAGACAUACUGUAUUCCCUCAGCAUCCACACAGAAAACUUGAGGUGAUAACUACCAUGGAUUUGUGAUGCAGCCAGCAGAAAACAGCUUAGAUUCCAUUAUCUGUCUCUGCCAGCCUGCAGUAACUUGGAUGUCUGCAAACUUGAAUGUAUUUGAGCUGCUGCUGUGGCCUGAAAUGGUGACUCAUUCUCCAUUUUGCGAUUUUUCAGGAAUUUCCACACAAUUGAAAAAGGUGCACUGGUGAAAACCCCACCUUCAAUUGCAUGAGCUACUGAUGGAAAUGAGUGCAGGGCUCACAGUGUAUGCAUGCACAACUCUUCUCCAUUCUCAGACUCAAUCUGUUAAGUCAGACAUUGUAUGACUUGUCAAGUCACUAAACUCCUAAUCACUGGCUUGUUACCAUCUGUUUCCUCUCAAUGUAGGUUACAUUUUUAUUUAGAGUAGUUUUUCCUGGUUGUCUGUGUAUACAUUUAGGAGCAGGUUUAUGAUAAAUCAAAAUAAACUGCUUUUAAAAUGCAUUAAAAAUAGGUUGUGCCAGUUUAAUUAAGUUUACAAGUCUCCUGAAAUUAAACCAGUAUGUAUUUCAUCAGCAAAGUGGCCAGUGACAGUACUGAACGCUCAAAGGUGUGGUCAGGAUGUAUAAACAGGAGACAGUGCAUUUAAGUGACUGUGAAAGCGCAGUGGUGCUUAUGAGAAACACUGUUAACUGUCCACAGGAGAUCUAUGCAUCAAAAAUUUGCUUAGCAAGUGGGUAUUGUUUUUAUGGAAUGAUACAACUGAAUUAAAUUUGGACUUUUAACAAAUGUUUCUACCUGGAAAUUUGAUUAAAAUGUACUAGUAGACUA